AUACGGAGGGUGCAAGCGUUAAUCGGAAUUACUGGGCGUAAAGCGCGCGUAGGCGGUUUGAUAAGUCGGAUGUGAAAUCCCCGGGCUCAACCUGGGAAUUGCAUUCGAUACUGUCAGGCUAGAGUGUGGUAGAGGGAAGUGGAAUUUCCGGUGUAGCGGUGAAAUGCGUAGAUAUCGGAAGGAACACCAGUGGCGAAGGCGGCUUCCUGGACCAACACUGACGCUGAGGUGCGAAAGCGUGGGGAGCAAACAGGAUUAGAAACCCCAGUAGUCC
This 274-nucleotide ribosomal RNA is filed under the name uncultured bacterium. RNAcentral's name for it is "partial 16S ribosomal RNA". It matches the Rfam family "Bacterial small subunit ribosomal RNA", at positions 523 to 796 of the family's 1533-position model. The record is from RNAcentral.